This 591-nucleotide ribosomal RNA is filed under the name Escherichia coli. Its description in RNAcentral is "partial 23S ribosomal RNA". It matches the Rfam family "Bacterial large subunit ribosomal RNA", at positions 361 to 956 of the family's 2925-position model. Lineage: Bacteria; Pseudomonadati; Pseudomonadota; Gammaproteobacteria; Enterobacterales; Enterobacteriaceae. The record is from RNAcentral.
AGGGUGACAGCCCCGUACACAAAAAUGCACAUGCUGUGAGCUCGAUGAGUAGGGCGGGACACGUGGUAUCCUGUCUGAAUAUGGGGGGACCAUCCUCCAAGGCUAAAUACUCCUGACUGACCGAUAGUGAACCAGUACCGUGAGGGAAAGGCGAAAAGAACCCCGGCGAGGGGAGUGAAAAAGAACCUGAAACCGUGUACGUACAAGCAGUGGGAGCACGCUUAGGCGUGUGACUGCGUACCUUUUGUAUAAUGGGUCAGCGACUUAUAUUCUGUAGCAAGGUUAACCGAAUAGGGGAGCCGAAGGGAAACCGAGUCUUAACUGGGCGUUAAGUUGCAGGGUAUAGACCCGAAACCCGGUGAUCUAGCCAUGGGCAGGUUGAAGGUUGGGUAACACUAACUGGAGGACCGAACCGACUAAUGUUGAAAAAUUAGCGGAUGACUUGUGGCUGGGGGUGAAAGGCCAAUCAAACCGGGAGAUAGCUGGUUCUCCCCGAAAGCUAUUUAGGUAGCGCCUCGUGAAUUCAUCUCCGGGGGUAGAGCACUGUUUCGGCAAGGGGGUCAUCCCGACUUACCAACCCGAUGCAAACUG